AUGACGGCGGCGUGGGGGCAGUGUUGACUAUUUCCUAUUUCUCUUUAGGCCAGACGCAUUGGCAAUCAGCAAAGUGUAGUGCAAUGCACAUCCAGUGACAGGCAGGAGAGUAAGAAAACCCGGAACACCUCGGACAACAAAUCCACGGCGCUGAUAGGCUUGUUGUUGGUAUUCUAUCUAUUUGCCUGGUGUCCUAUCCUUAUCUACUUCCUGUAUGCAUUACUCUCUAAGGAUAGGCCGAGUCCUUACAUUGGCGCCACCUGUCGGAUUUUUGUUUUCACCAACUCAUGUGUUAACGUCUUCGUCUACUCUCUGCGUCUUCAGAAUUUUCGAAAAUACAUGCUGAAAGAUCUGCGUGCUUUACGCCAAAGUGUUUGCAGUUGUCCACACGUAAAGAACAGAAGCAUUCGGACUGGCCUUCAUGGACAAAUUACAAGCAGUAAUGACCAGGUUGUGUCUAUACUCGUUAGCGAAACUGACAACAUUGGACACAUGACAGAAACCGACACAAGUUGUAACGAGACAUGUAUUACUACAUGUAAUUAAUACACUGAUUAAUUUUUUUUAUGAAUGUAUGUUGUAGAUGUUUUGAAUAUACAUGAAGAAUUCU
Ostrea edulis (European flat oyster) is the source of this 610-nucleotide long non-coding RNA. RefSeq lists it as uncharacterized. The record is from RefSeq and is a predicted model, not a curated record. The transcript is spliced from 2 exons. NCBI's taxonomy places the organism in Eukaryota, Metazoa, Mollusca, Bivalvia, Ostreida, Ostreidae.